Molecule: ribosomal RNA, 477 nt
Filed under: uncultured bacterium
Lineage: Bacteria
Description: partial 16S ribosomal RNA
Rfam family: Bacterial small subunit ribosomal RNA
Source: RNAcentral
GAUGAACGCUGGCGGCGUGCUUAACACAUGCAAGUCGAACGGGAAACCUUUUAUUGACGCUUCGGCAGAUUUAGCUGGUUUCUAGUGGCGGACGGGUGAGUAACGCGUGGGUAACCUGCCUUAUACAGGGGGAUAACAGUCAGAAAUGGCUGCUAAUACCGCAUAAGCGCACAGAGCUGCAUGGCUCAGUGUGAAAAACUCCGGUGGUAUAAGAUGGACCCGCGUUGGAUUAGCUGGUUGGUGGGGUAACGGCCCACCAAGGCGACGAUCCAUAGCCGGCCUGAGAGGGUGAACGGCCACAUUGGGACUGAGACACGGCCCAGACUCCUACGGGAGGCAGCAGUGGGGAAUAUUGCACAAUGGGGAAACCCUGAUGCAGCGACGCCGCGUGAAGGAAGAAGUAUCUCGGUAUGUAAACUUCUAUCAGCAGGGAAGAUAAUGACGGUACCUGACGAAGAAGCCCCGGCUAACUACGUG